Molecule: ribosomal RNA, 643 nt
Filed under: uncultured Actinomycetes bacterium
Lineage: Bacteria; Bacillati; Actinomycetota; Actinomycetes
Description: bacterial SSU rRNA
Rfam family: Bacterial small subunit ribosomal RNA
Source: RNAcentral
CGCGGCCUAUCAGCUUGUUGGUGGGGUAACGGCCUACCAAGGCGACGACGGGUAGCUGGUCUGAGAGGACGACCAGCCACACUGGAACUGAGAUACGGUCCAGACUCCUACGGGAGGCAGCAGUGGGGAAUCUUGCACAAUGGGCGAAAGCCUGAUGCAGCGACGCCGCGUGGGGGAUGAAUGCCUUCGGGUUGUAAACCCCUUUCGGCAGGGAAGAAGCGCAAGUGACGGUACCUGCAGAAGAAGCUCCGGCUAACUACGUGCCAGCGGCCGCGGUAAGACGUAGGGAGCGAGCGUUGUCCGGAUUCAUUGGGCGUAAAGCGCGCGUAGGCGGUUUGGCAAGUCGGAUGUGAAAUCCCGAGGCUCAACCUCGGGACUGCAUCCGAUACUGCCCGACUAGAGGUAGGUAGGGGAGAUCGGAAUUCCUGGUGUAGCGGUGAAAUGCGCAGAUAUCAGGAGGAACACCGGUGGCGAAGGCGGAUCUCUGGGCCUUACCUGACGCUGAGGCGCGAAAGCUAGGGGAGCGAACAGGAUUAGAUACCCUGGUAGUCCUAGCCGUAAACGUUGGGUGCUAGGUGUGGGCGGAUAUCGACCCCGUCCGUGCCGAAGCUAACGCAUUAAGCACCCCGCCUGGGGAGUACGG